GCAUCAGCGUAGCUCAGUGGUUACUUCAAACAUGACAAGAGUCAAGUUUCUACUCUACAGCUUAACAGCUGUGGGUUCGACUACGGGUGCUGGCUGACGUUUUG
RNAcentral lists this vault RNA (104 nucleotides) under Fundulus heteroclitus (mummichog). Its description in RNAcentral is "Vault RNA (ENSFHEG00000015322.1)". It matches the Rfam family "Vault RNA". Rfam says of the family: This family of RNAs are found as part of the enigmatic vault ribonucleoprotein complex. Lineage: Eukaryota; Metazoa; Chordata; Actinopteri; Cyprinodontiformes; Fundulidae. The record is from RNAcentral.